ACCCACCUCCCUCUCGAUCCCCACUCCUCUUCCACUGCGCCGCCUCCUUCCUCCACCUGCCGGCGACUCGCCGCCUCCACCUCCCGCCGCAACGGCCGCCCCCACCUCCCGCCCCGACGACCGCCCCCAACCUUCUGCCGCGGCUGGCGCCCCUCCCCAGAUCCCGCUACAGCCCCAAAACCCAACCGGCGCCGCCGCUGUCGUCCUGCACUGGAUCGACCCGCCGCUAUCGCCCCGCUGUCGCGUACAGGCAGUUCAACGCCUCAACCCCAAGCCGUUCAAUGCCUUGCCGAUCGCCGGCUCCUCCAUGGACGCCUAGCUCCUGCACUAAAACCACCGUGGCCCAGGGAUUCACCCCGCCCCAACCCACUGGCCCGUCUACGAAUGCCCCGCGCUCCCUCCGGUGACCAGCCCCGCCUCGCGCACGCCCCUCCGACGUCCGGAGACCUGCCACGCGCCCCGCACUCCAGCCGCGGCCAACUCCCUCCUGUGCUGCUCGGUUGCUUGCACAGACGUGUAGCAGUUCAAAACAUGCAGGCCUCUGCCCCUCCGAAAUGCCCAGUUCCCCUUCGUUCAUGUCGCUUUCUCGCCCAUACACACGGCUGGAGAAUCACCGACCUCGUCGAGCUUGACCUUGCAAGCAGCCCCGCUCGCCGUACAUGAUUUUUGUGUGUUAUAUUUGCUCAUUCCCAUUGUGCGUGUGCACUGCUUGAAGGAACGCAUGGCAGAGGACAGGUUUUUUUGUGCUUGUUGUUUGCAGGUCUUCUGAGGAUUAAAUAAAAAGCUUGCUCAAAGGAAGCAUUUCCCAUCAGUGAAUUGGCUCAUUUCCUACUCGAAUACUCCCAGGCACUCGAGUCCUACGAGAAGUUUGAACGAAGGCGUGUGAGGUGUUGCACAGGGAGGAUGAUCUAAGUGAAAUUGUGCAGGGAGAAGGACACAAUCAGGCACUGUAAAAGAAUUCUGAAUUAUUGUCUGUUAAACACUGCACAAGAUUCUGCAUCCGGGAAAUGGCUAGUCAUUAUCAUGCACCUUAGCAAGGAAUAGUAGAUGGUAUGACAUGUAAAAAAGAUGCGUUGAAGUGGUUGGUGCUGCUCUCCUGGAAGAUGAUUGAUGGCUACCUCCUCCCGCUGGCGGGGCUCUAUCGCUGCAGCUCCCUGGCUGUUCACAGCCGCCACCCUGGGUCGUUCAGCAACACAACGCUAAGCCGUUCGACACCGCAGCUUGGGAGGUGCCCGCUUUUUCCCACCCCCCUGUGUGUUUUUGGGCAGUACAAAUACAUCGCUAUAGUUAGUACAGAUGUGGCGCCUUGCGGAGUACUAAAAAGACCAACUGUCUCACAAACCGUUUUCACUUCAUCUUUACAACCGCCAGGAUAUAUAUGAUUCGCGAAACAGAAUAGCCCAGAUAUAUAUAGGACUGGACUAUAUGUGAUUUUCACUUCAUCUUUACAGAGCACAAUCCUGGCGUGCCCAGCCACUGCUCGUGAACCCCGCCUCCAUCAGCUCCACUUCACCGGAGCCGUCAGUCCGCAGGAGUAGGGGUAGCAGGUUCACCCGAUGUCCGACGCCUUCUUCCAUCUCCAAAAAUCUUGUUUUCUGAAAAAAGCUAAAAAAAGUCACUUUUCUGGUUUCAAAUUUGAGAUGAUGAUUCAGUUCAGAAAAAUGGACGCCAAAAACAAUUAAGAAGUUCAGGUCAUCCGUACAACCGCACCGAGCUCGCACUCCGCGGCCGCUGGCGCCCCCAACCUAACGCCGUCCGUGACCCUCCACUACACUCCUCUGCUGGAGGAGCAUGUCAAUUCAUGUGGAGCAUAACAGUGUUAGUUUCGAUAGUUUGUCAAUUCGCCGGUGGGAUCCGCAGGUCAGACCGUCAUUCUCCGGCCGCCGCGCUGCCUGGAUCCAACGAGGCUGCUUCGCACCGGUCUCGGAUCCACCUGCCUCCACGCCAUCACCUGCCUGCGCCAGCCCCGGCCCCGGAUCCCCCUCCAACCCAAUUCGUGCCAUGGACAAGGAAAAAACUUUUGUCAGGUUUUUGGUGGCUAGGUAUUAUUGAUAUGGAGAUGAAUAACUAUGUGCUUCGGUUGUUCUUUUGGAAAAGACAAGUUGCCAUGCUUUACUUUUAUGAGCUUUCUAAUUUGCAUACGUCUAAGUUAUUGCUUGCUGCCACUAGUGAAUUGCGCAAGUUCAAUGGGUGUUGUCGAGCAUGUUCAGAAGUAUGCCCUUCGUGCAGAAGUGUGAUUUUUUCAGUAUUUUGUAUAUUUCAUUUGGCAGAGGCUUCAUGUCAUCUUGUGGAGCUUUAUAAAUGUAUUGUAAUUACACUUUUAAGACCCUAAGUGUUCAUUACUCCCUCCGUUCCUUGAUAUAAGGUGUAUAGAUUUUUGAGAAAAACUUCAAAAUAUAAGGUGUAUUGUGUUGCACAACUCAUUUGAAUAACUUUUUUAGGGAUUUGAUUACAUCUCCUUAUAUCAAGCAAGCUCCUUUAUUUUCUCAUGUCAAUUAGUCAGGUGUAAUCUUGUCCAAAACUUAUGAAAUUUUCCCUCCAUGUGCGUUCUUUAAUUUUCGUGUCAAAAACUAUACACCCUAUAUUUAGGAAUGGAGGGAGUAUAUCAUACAUGUGUGGCCGUUCAGUAUUUGUACUUCUUUA
Triticum aestivum (bread wheat) is the source of this 2643-nucleotide long non-coding RNA. RefSeq lists it as uncharacterized. The record is from RefSeq and is a predicted model, not a curated record. Lineage: Eukaryota; Viridiplantae; Streptophyta; Magnoliopsida; Poales; Poaceae. The transcript is spliced from 7 exons.